Molecule: ribosomal RNA, 497 nt
Filed under: uncultured bacterium
Lineage: Bacteria
Description: partial 16S ribosomal RNA
Rfam family: Bacterial small subunit ribosomal RNA
Source: RNAcentral
GAUGAACGCUGGCGGCGUGCCUAAUACAUGCAAGUCGAGCGAACGGACGAGAAGCUUGCUUCUCUGAUGUUAGCGGCGGACGGGUGAGUAACACGUGGAUAACCUACCUAUAAGACUGGGAUAACUUCGGGAAACCGGAGCUAAUACCGGAUAAUAUUUUGAACCGCAUGGUUCAAAAGUGAAAGACGUUCUUGCUGUCACUUAUAGAUGGAUCCCGGCUGCAUUAGCUAGUUGUUAGUGUAACGGCUUACCAAGGCAACGAUGCAUAGCCGACCUGAGAGGGCGGUCGGCCACACUGGAACUGAGACACGGUCCAGACUCCUACGGGAGGAAGCAUUAGGGAAUAUUCCGAAAUGGGCGAAAGCCUAACGGAGCAACGCCGCGUGGGAGAUGAAGGUCUUCGGAUCGUAAACCUCUGUUAUUAGGGAAGAACAUAUGUGUAAGUAACUGUGCACAUCUUGACGGUACCUAAUCAGAAAGCCACGGCUAACUACGUG